This 826-nucleotide ribosomal RNA is filed under the name Brevibacterium sp. Its description in RNAcentral is "bacterial SSU rRNA". It matches the Rfam family "Bacterial small subunit ribosomal RNA", at positions 663 to 1481 of the family's 1533-position model. Lineage: Bacteria; Bacillati; Actinomycetota; Actinomycetes; Micrococcales; Brevibacteriaceae. The record is from RNAcentral.
GGAAUUCCUGGUGUAGCGGUGAAAUGCGCAGAUAUCAGGAGGAACACCGGUGGGCGAAGGCGGGACUCUGGGCUGUAACUGACACUGAGGAGCGAAAGCAUGGGGAGCGAACAGGAUUUAGAUACCCUGGUAGUCCAUGCCGUAAACGUUGGGCACUAGGUGUGGGGGACAUUCCACGUUCUCCGCGCCGUAGCUAACGCAUUAAGUGCCCCNCCUGGGGAGUACGGUCGCAAGGCUAAAACUCAAAGGAAUUGACGGGGGCCCGCACAAGCGGCGGAGCAUGCGGAUUAAUUCGAUGCAACGCGAAGAACCUUACCAAGGCUUGACAUACACUGGACCGUUCUGGAAACAGUUNUUCUCUUUGGAGCUGGUGUACAGGUGGUGCAUGGUUGUCGUCAGCUCGUGUCGUGAGAUGUUGGGUUAAGUCCCGCAACGAGCGCAACCCUCGUUCUAUGUUGCCAGCACGUGAUGGUGGGAACUCAUAGGAGACUGCCGGGGUCAACUCGGAGGAAGGUGGGGAUGACGUCAAAUCAUCAUGCCCUUUAUGUCUUGGGCUUCACGCAUGCUACAAUGGCUGGUACAGAGAGAGGCGAACCCGUGAGGGUAAGCGAAUCCCUUAAAGCCAGUCUCAGUUCGGAUCGUAGUCUGCAAUUCGACUACGUGAAGUCGGAGUCGCUAGUAAUCGCAGAUCAGCAACGCUGCGGUGAAUACGUUCCCGGGCCUUGUACACACCGCCCGUCAAGUCACGAAAGUCGGUAACACCCGAAGCCGGUGUCCCAACCCCUUGUGGAGGGGGCCGUCUAAGGUGGGACCUGGUGAUUUGGAC